This 700-nucleotide ribosomal RNA is filed under the name uncultured Emticicia sp. RNAcentral describes it as "bacterial SSU rRNA". It matches the Rfam family "Bacterial small subunit ribosomal RNA", at positions 63 to 775 of the family's 1533-position model. Lineage: Bacteria; Pseudomonadati; Bacteroidota; Cytophagia; Cytophagales; Leadbetterellaceae. The record is from RNAcentral.
CAAGGGGUAGCAAUACACCGGCGUACGGGUGUGUAACGCGUAUGGAACCUGCCCUUAUCUGGGGGAUAACUCGGGGAAACUCGAGCUAAUACCGCAUAAGAUAGUAGAGUGGCAUCACUCAGCUAUUAAAGAUUUAUCGGAUAAGGAUGGCCAUGCGUAAGAUUAGAUAGUUGGCGAGGUAACGGCUCACCAAGUCUACGAUCUUUAGGGGCUCUGAGAGGAGAAUCCCCCACACUGGCACUGAGAUACGGGCCAGACUCCUACGGGAGGCAGCAGUAGGGAAUAUUGGGCAAUGGGCGGAAGCCUGACCCAGCCACGCCGCGUGCAGGAAGACGGCCCUCUGGGUUGUAAACUGCUUUUAACUGGGAAGAAAAGAGGCUUUGCGAAGCAAGUUGACGGUACCAGUUGAAUAAGCCACGGCUAACUACGUGCCAGCAGCCGCGGUAAUACGUAGGUGGCGAGCGUUAUCCGGAUUUAUUGGGUUUAAAGGGAGCGUAGGCGGCUGAUUAAGUCAGCGGUGAAAGGUAGCAGCUUAACUGUUUUACAUGCCGUUGAUACUGGUUAGCUUGAGUUGACAGAAGGCAGAUAGAAUUCCUGAUGUAGCGGUGAAAUGCUUAGAUAUCAGGAGGAAUACCGAUUGCGAAGGCAGUCUGCUGCAGUCACACUGACGCUGAGGCUCGAAGGUGCGGGGAUCAAACAG